RNAcentral lists this ribosomal RNA (253 nucleotides) under uncultured bacterium. RNAcentral describes it as "partial 16S ribosomal RNA". It matches the Rfam family "Bacterial small subunit ribosomal RNA", at positions 524 to 776 of the family's 1533-position model. The record is from RNAcentral.
UACGUAGGGGGCAAGCGUUGUCCGGAUUUAUUGGGCGUAAAGAGCGUGUAGGCGGCCUGAAAGGUCAGCUGUGAAAACUCGAGGCUCAACCUCGAGACGUCGGUUGAAACCAUCUGGCUAGAGUCCGGAAGAGGAGUGUGGAAUUCCCGGUGUAGCAGUGAAAUGCGUAGAGAUCGGGAGGAACAUCUGUGGCGAAGGCGGCCACCUGGACCAGCACUGACACUGAGGCACGAAAGCGUGGGGAGCAAACAGG